RNAcentral lists this ribosomal RNA (473 nucleotides) under uncultured organism. Its description in RNAcentral is "partial 16S ribosomal RNA". It matches the Rfam family "Bacterial small subunit ribosomal RNA", at positions 334 to 798 of the family's 1533-position model. The record is from RNAcentral.
CACUCCUACGGGAGGCAGCAGUGGGGAAUUUUGGACAAUGGGCGAAAGCCUGAUCCAGCAAUGCCGCGUGCAGGAUGAAGGCCUUCGGGUUGUAAACUGCUUUUGUACGGAACGAAAAAGCUCCUUCUAAUACAGGGGGCCCAUGACGGUACCGUAAGAAUAAGCACCGGCUAACUACGUGCCAGCAGCCGCGGUAAUACGUAGGGUGCGAGCGUUAAUCGGAAUUACUGGGCGUAAAGCGUGCGCAGGCGGUUAUGUAAGACAGAUGUGAAAUCCCCGGGCUCAACCUGGGAACUGCAUUUGGGACUGCAUGGCUAGAGUACGGUAGAGGGGGAUGGAAUUCCGCGUGUAGCAGUGAAAUGCGUAGAUAUGCGGAGGAACACCGAUGGCGAAGGCAAUCCCCUGGACCUGUACUGACGCUCAUGCACGAAAGCGUGGGGAGCAAACAGGAUUAGAAACCCUGGUAGUCCCAU